This 307-nucleotide ribosomal RNA is filed under the name Pseudomyrmex aff. flavicornis-a MAS-2013. RNAcentral's name for it is "eukaryotic LSU rRNA". Lineage: Eukaryota; Metazoa; Arthropoda; Insecta; Hymenoptera; Formicidae. The record is from RNAcentral.
UGAAGAAAAGUUGAAAAGUACUUUGAAGAGUUAAYGAGUACGUGAAACCGUUCAGAGGUAAACCUAAGAAACCCAAAAAAUCGAACGGGGAGAUUCAUCGUCAACGAAACUGGCUUCGCGUCGGUGGGCGAUAACCCCGCGGUGUGUCCUAAGCGGCACGCGCGUGCGGGCACGNUACCGAACGCCGAUGUCCGGUUUUCGUCGUCGUGCACUUCUCUCCUAGUAGAACGUCGCGACUCGCUGUGUGUCGGUCACCGACCNGGGUGCGGUNACUGUCACGUCGCCCGUAAAANCGGCGCGCGGCAAA